AAAACAGGGACUAACGCUGGCGGCGUGCCUAACACAUGCAAGUCGAACGAGUUGUUUAUAGUAGCAAUAUUGUGAACAGCAAGUGGCGAACGGGUGAGUAACACGUAGAUAAUCUGCCUUUCAGACGGGGAUAACUCAGGGAAACUUGUGCUAAUACCCGAUGAGACUACGAGGGGGGACCUUCGCAGCCAAAGGUGGGCGAAAGCUCACGCUGGAAGAUGAGUCUGCGUCCUAUCAGCUAGUUGGUGGGGUAAAAGCCUACCAAGGCGAAGACGGGUAGCCGGCCUGAGAGGGUGAACGGCCACACUGGGACUGAGACACGGCCCAGACUCCUACGGGAGGCAGCAGUGAGGAAUUUUCCGCAAUGGGCGCAAGCCUGACGGAGCGACGCCGCGUGAGGGAUGACGGCCUUCGGGUUGUAAACCUCUUUUAUUAAGGAAAAAGGCAAUCGUGCUAACACCACGGUUGUUUGAUGGUACUUAUUGAAUAAGCCCCGGCUAACUACGUGCCAACAG
Molecule: ribosomal RNA, 515 nt
Filed under: uncultured bacterium
Lineage: Bacteria
Description: bacterial SSU rRNA
Rfam family: Bacterial small subunit ribosomal RNA
Source: RNAcentral